CGUCAGAUGACGCUACGCAGCCUAAACAGGCAGUCGGACGGGAUCCACUGGUAGCUUGCUACCGGCUGGUGAGAUGGCGCACGGGUGCGUAACGCGUGAGCAACCUACCCAUAUCAGGGGGAUAGCCCGAAGAAAUUCGGAUUAACACCGCAUGACACAAAUUGACCGCAUGGUCUUAUUUGUCAAAUAUUCAUAGGAUAUGGAUGGGCUCGCGUGACAUUAGCUAGUUGGUGGGGUAACGGCCCACCAAGGCGACGAUGUCUAGGGGCUCUGAGAGGAGAAUCCCCCACACUGGUACUGAGACACGGACCAGACUCCUACGGGAGGCAGCAGUAAGGAAUAUUGGUCAAUGGGGGCAACCCUGAACCAGCCAUGCCGCGUGCAGGAUGACUGCCCUAUGGGUUGUAAACUGCUUUUGUUAGGGAAUAAACCCCACUACGUGUAGUGGGCUGAAUGUACCUAAAGAAUAAGGAUCGGCUAACUCCGUGCCAGCAGCCGCGGUAAUACGGAGGAUCCGAGCGUUAUCCGGAUUUAUUGGGUUUAAAGGGUGCGUAGGCGGCACUUUAAGUCAGGGGUGAAAGACGGCAGCUCAACUGUCGCAGUGCCCUUGAUACUGAAGUGCUUGAAUGCGGUUGAAGACGGCGGAAUGAGACAAGUAGCGGUGAAAUGCAUAGAUAUGUCUCAGAACACCGAUUGCGAAGGCAGCUGUCUAAAGCCGUUAUUGACGCUGAUGCACGAAAGCGUGGGGAUCGAACAGGAUUAAUACCCUGGGUAGUCCAGCCCUAACGAUGAUGACUCGAUGUUGCGAUUUACCGUAAGCGUCCAGCGAAGCGUAGUCAUCCACCUGGGG
This 850-nucleotide ribosomal RNA is filed under the name Flavobacterium sp. C10. Its description in RNAcentral is "bacterial SSU rRNA". It matches the Rfam family "Bacterial small subunit ribosomal RNA", at positions 23 to 878 of the family's 1533-position model. The record is from RNAcentral. Lineage: Bacteria; Pseudomonadati; Bacteroidota; Flavobacteriia; Flavobacteriales; Flavobacteriaceae.